Molecule: ribosomal RNA, 497 nt
Filed under: uncultured bacterium
Lineage: Bacteria
Description: partial 16S ribosomal RNA
Rfam family: Bacterial small subunit ribosomal RNA
Source: RNAcentral
GAUGAACGCUGGCGGCGUGCCUAAUACAUGCAAGUCGAGCGAACAGACGAGGAGCUUGCUCCUCUGACGUUAGCGGCGGACGGGUGAGUAACACGUGGAGAACCUACCUAUAAGACUGGGAUAACUUCGUGAAACCGGAGCUAAUACCGGAUAAUAUAUUUAACCGCAUGGUUCAAUAGUGAAAGACGGUUUUGCUGUCACUUAUAGAUGGAUCCGCGCCGCAUUAGCUAGUUGGUAAGGUAACGGCUUACCAAGGCAACGAUGCGUAGCCGACCUGAGAGGGUGAUCCGCCCCACUGGAACUGAGACACGGACCAGCCUCCUAAGGGAGGCAGCAGUAGGGAAUCUUCCGCCAUGGGAGAAAGCUUGACGGAGCAACGCCGCGUGAGUGAUGUAGGUCUUAGGAUCCUAAAACUCUGUUAUUAGGGACGAACAAAUGUGUAAGUAACUAUGCACGUCUUGACGGUACCAAAUCAGAAAGCCACGGCUAACUACGUG